UCCUACGGGAGGCAGCAGUGAGGAAUAUUGGUCAAUGGGCGCGAGCCUGAACCAGCCAAGUAGCGUGCAGGAUGACGGCCCUACGGGUUGUAAACUGCUUUUAUGCGGGGAUAAAGUGAGGGACGUGUCCCUUUUUGCAGGUACCGCAUGAAUAAGGACCGGCUAAUUCCGUGCCAGCAGCCGCGGUAAUACGGAAGGUCCGGGCGUUAUCCGGAUUUAUUGGGUUUAAAGGGAGCGCAGGCGGAGAGCUAAGCGUGACGUGAAAUGUAGCCGCCCAACGGCUGACGUGCGUCGCGAACUGGUUUUCUUGAGUGGGUACGACGUCGGCGGAACUCGUGGUGUAGCGGUGAAAUGCUUAGAUAUCACGAGGAACCCCGAUUGCGAAGGCAGCCGACGAGUCCCUUACUGACGCUAAAGCUCGAAGGUGCGGGUAUCGAACAGGAUUAGAUACCCUGGUAGUCC
Molecule: ribosomal RNA, 462 nt
Filed under: uncultured bacterium
Lineage: Bacteria
Description: bacterial SSU rRNA
Rfam family: Bacterial small subunit ribosomal RNA
Source: RNAcentral